UAAGAAUAUAGCUAAAAAGUUCAACAUAUCUUAUCUCAAAAGCCGCACUAUAAUAAUUAUAGAAUUAAUUACAUACAGAUCCAUAUAAAUAUAGUAAAUUGUAAAUAUGUCGUUAUAAAAUUUAACUUUUAUAUAUUAUUUUUGCAAAUAUUUUAAUAUUUUCAAAUAUAUUCAUACCAUUAGAAUUCGUUAGAAAUAUUUAAUUUACCAUAGAUUAAAUAUUUAAUCCUAAUUAGUUUAUGAGAUAACUUGACAUUUUUAUCCUUCUAAUAUUAUGCUCUGUCAUGGCAAGGGAUAUAUUUGUGGUGACAAAAUUGACAUUGUAUUUUUUUGCUGUUAAAAUAUAAAUUUUCUCUAAUGUCAAUAAACCAGAAAGAUAUAUUUGAAAAUAUUAGAACUUUUGUAAGGACAAUAUAUAAAAAUUGAACUUUGUAAAAAUAUAUUUGCAAUUCACUAUAUUUACAAUGAUAAGUAUAUAUUUAGGCUUCAUUUGGGUUUGCGAGGAGAUUGCAUUACGUGCGGUGAGAAAGUACAAUGAAAAAAUAUUUUGUUUAUUUUCAUAGACCUCAAUACCAAAUUAAGCCUUAAUCUAUAAUUAUAUUUUUAUAUAAUAGGGUUAAUUUUAUACAGGUCCCCGCAAAUAUAGUGAAUUACAGAUAUAUUUCUGUAAAGUUUAGCUUUUAAAAGUUAUUUUUACAAAAAUCCUAAUGUAUUCAAAAAUGUCCCUAUGGUUAAAAUCCAUUAGAGAACUACUUAUUUAUUAACAGUAGGCUCGUGAAAUGACAUUUUUACCCUCAUAAAUGUCUUUCCAAAACAACUUUUGCCCUCUUCCUCUUUCUCUUCCUUUU
Molecule: long non-coding RNA, 848 nt
Filed under: Ananas comosus (pineapple)
Lineage: Eukaryota; Viridiplantae; Streptophyta; Magnoliopsida; Poales; Bromeliaceae
Description: long non-coding RNA (ACOM_LNC014077)
Source: RNAcentral